CCUACGGGAGGCAGCAGUAGGGAAUCUUUCACAAUGGGCGAAAGCCUGAUGGAGCAACGCCGCGUGCAGGAUGAAGGCCUUCGGGUUGUAAACUGCUUUUGUCAGGGAGCAAUUGAGUCCACGUGUGGGCUUAGCGAGAGUACCUGAAGAAAAAGCAUCGGCUAACUCCGUGCCAGCAGCCGCGGUAAUACGGAGGAUGCGAGCGUUAUCCGGAUUUAUUGGGUUUAAAGGGUGCGUAGGCGGAAUAUCAAGUCAGCGGUAAAAAUUCGGGGCUCAACCCCGUCGUGCCGUUGAAACUGAUGUUCUUGAGUGGGCGAGAAGUAUGCGGAAUGCGUGGUGUAGCGGUGAAAUGCAUAGAUAUCACGCAGAACUCCGAUUGCGAAGGCAGCAUACCGGCGCCCAACUGACGCUGAAGCACGAAAGCGUGGGUAUCGAACAGGAUUAGAUACCCGUGUAGUC
This 459-nucleotide ribosomal RNA is filed under the name uncultured bacterium. RNAcentral's name for it is "partial 16S ribosomal RNA". It matches the Rfam family "Bacterial small subunit ribosomal RNA", at positions 338 to 795 of the family's 1533-position model. The record is from RNAcentral.